AAAACAUGUCUUUUUGAUAAAAUAUAAAGUCCAAUCUGCUCACUGAUAAUUUAAAGAGCCGCAGUAUAUUGACUGUGCAAAGGUAGCAUAAUCAAUAGUUUUUUAAUUGAGAACUUGUAUGAAAGAUUAGACGAAAAUUUAAUUUUCUUUGUUCUAUAGAAUUUAAUUUUAAUUUUAAGUGAAAAUGCUUAAUUUUUUUUAAGAGACGAGAAGACCCUAUAGAUUUUUAUUAUAAAUAUUGAGUUUUAUAUUUUUAUUUGAUAUAAUAAUUUAAUUGGGGCGAUUUUAUAAAAUAAAAAACUUAAAUUUUUAUUACCAUAAAUUAUUGAAUUUUUUGAUCUAAAAAUUUUAAAGAGAAGAUUAAAUUACCUUAGGGAUAACAGCGUAAUUUUAUUUAAGAGUUCAUAUCUAUAGUAAAGUUUGCGACCUCGAUGUUGAAUUAAGAUAAUAUAUUGGAGUAGAAAUUAAUAUAAUUAGUCUGUUCGACUAUUAAAUUCUUACGUGAUCUG
Molecule: ribosomal RNA, 509 nt
Filed under: Psococerastis sp. Cosp.TI.11.04.2006.06
Lineage: Eukaryota; Metazoa; Arthropoda; Insecta; Psocodea; Psocidae
Description: partial 16S ribosomal RNA
Rfam family: Bacterial large subunit ribosomal RNA (bases 376-509)
Source: RNAcentral